UGAGGAAUAUUGGUCAAUGGGCGAGAGCCUGAACCAGCCAAGUCGCGUGAAGGAAGACAGUCCUAAGGAUUGUAAACUUCUUUUAUACGGGAAUAACGGGCGAUACGAGUAUUGCAUUGAAUGUACCGUAAGAAUAAGCAUCGGCUAACUCCGUGCCAGCAGCCGCGGUAAUACGGAGGAUGCGAGCGUUAUCCGGAUUUAUUGGGUUUAAAGGGUGCGUAGGUUGUUCGGUAAGUCAGCGGUGAAACCUGAGCGCUCAACGUUCAGCCUGCCGUUGAAACUGCCGGGCUUGAGUUCAGUGGCGGCAGGCGGAAUUCGUGGUGUAGCGGUGAAAUGCAUAGAUAUCACGAGGAACUCCGAUUGCGAAGGCAGCUUGCCAUACUGCGACUGACACUGAAGCACGAAGGCGUGGGUAUCAAACAGGAUUAGAUACCCUGGUAGUCCACGCAGUAAACGAUGAUUACUAGGAGUUUGCGAUAUACCGUCAAGCUUCCACAGCGAAAGCGUUAAGUAAUCCACCUGGGGAGUACGCCGGCAACGGUG
This 543-nucleotide ribosomal RNA is filed under the name uncultured bacterium. RNAcentral's name for it is "bacterial SSU rRNA". It matches the Rfam family "Bacterial small subunit ribosomal RNA", at positions 355 to 896 of the family's 1533-position model. The record is from RNAcentral.